AGUGAAGUUCCUGAUUAAAGGGCUAUUGUGAUAGAAUAGAUAAUGUAAAUUUUUACCUUCACUA
This 64-nucleotide transfer RNA is filed under the name Schultesia lampyridiformis. RNAcentral describes it as "tRNA-Ile". The record is from RNAcentral. Lineage: Eukaryota; Metazoa; Arthropoda; Insecta; Blattodea; Blaberidae.